RNAcentral lists this ribosomal RNA (508 nucleotides) under uncultured bacterium. RNAcentral's name for it is "partial 16S ribosomal RNA". It matches the Rfam family "Bacterial small subunit ribosomal RNA", at positions 28 to 507 of the family's 1533-position model. The record is from RNAcentral.
GACGAACGCUGGCGGCGUGCUUAACACAUGCAAGUCGAACGGGCCUUGUCCCCUUUUUUUUUGGGGGUGGGGUUAGUGGCGAACGGGUGAGUAACACGUGAGUAACCUGCCCCUCACUUCUGGAUAACCGCUUGAAAGGGUGGCUAAUACGGGGUGUUCUGGCCUGCUCGCAUGGGUGGGUUUGGAAAGAUUCGACCGGUUUUGGUUGUUUUGGUGGGGGAUGGGCUCGCGGCCUAUCAGCUUGUUGGUGGGGUGAUGGCCUGCCAAGGCUUUGACGGGUAGCCGGCCUGAGAGGGUGGGCGGUCACACUGGGACUGAGACACGGCCCAGACUCCUACGGGAGGCAGCAGUGGGGAAUAUUGCACAAUGGGCGCAAGCCUGAUGCAGCGACUCCGCGUGAGGGAUGGAGGCCUUCGGGUUGUGAACCUCUUUCGCCAGUGAAGAAGGUCCUGCUCUUUGUGGUGGGGUUGACGGUAGCUGGGUUAAUGAAGCGCCGGCUAACUACGUG